This 31-nucleotide non-coding RNA is filed under the name Rattus norvegicus (Norway rat). Lineage: Eukaryota; Metazoa; Chordata; Mammalia; Rodentia; Muridae. The record is from RNAcentral.
UGCCACGAGGAAGACUUUACAAAGUUGUCUU